Non-coding RNA from Misgurnus anguillicaudatus (oriental weatherfish), 3823 nucleotides. NCBI's taxonomy places the organism in Eukaryota, Metazoa, Chordata, Actinopteri, Cypriniformes, Cobitidae. The record is from RefSeq and is a predicted model, not a curated record.
CCCAGUGCUUCCAUCAACCUACCGUUGGUUGGUUGGUGCUGCGUCUUAUAGUCAGGUGCGCCUUGUAAGUCAGUAUGAAUUAAUUUUGACAUUGAUGAGGCAAGAGACAAAAUUACUGUCUACAGCUGCGAUAGUCCGCCAUAUGCUGCUUCUGCAUUUAUGUAGUUCAAUGGAUUCAGUGAUGUGGAAUGACAGGUAUGCGAACUUCACGCUAGUUGGCUUGUUCGGUUAAUUUAUUCAACCUUCCAGGUAAGUUCUGCUUGCUAUGGUUUAUAAUUUAACUAACUGAUAAUAUUACUUUAACGUGCAGACAUCUAUCUAUUUAGCUUGCUGUUCUGUCUGCUAUUGUUUAAUUGAAUAACUUGCCUUUCCAGAUUAAAUGUCUGUUCUUUGGCUGGAUUUUGUGAAAUAAUUUUCUAAAAAAAACCAACUAAGUAAUUUUGUCUCAAUGACGCAUUUUUAAAUGAUGUGGCUUAUAUUACGGUGCGGCUUAUAGUCGGGAAAGUACGGUAGAAAAUGUGUAAAAGAUCAACCCAGUAACUCAGUUUUGGUGAACCAUUCUCUGCAAGCCUGUGAAAAAAUAGGUCAUUGAAAUUUGGCACUCCUUGUGAUGUCAGAAGGGGAUAAUACCACCCCUUAAUCUGCACUUUCCAACCACAGCACUGCCAUUUAGUGCAGAGAUCAGCUCAUUUGCAUUUUAAAAGACACACCCAAAUAAGGGCAAAUUUUUGUUCACACCUACAAAGUGUCAAUUUUAAGAUGCUAUAAUAAAUGAUCUAUAUGAAAUCAUGGAGCGGUCUGAAAUUGUCAUCGUAGGUGCAUGUCCACUGUGAGAGACAUAAUCUAAAAAAAAUCCUGAAAUCACAAUGUAUGAUUUAACUGUUUAUUUGUAUGAUACAGCUGCAAAUAAGCAUUUAAACACCUGAGAAAAUCAAUGUUAAUAUUUGGUACAGUAUCCUUUGUUUGCAAUUACAGAGGUCAAACGUUUCCUCUAGUUUUUCACCAGGUUGCACACACUGCAGGAGGGAUUUUGGCCCACUACUCCACACAGAUCUUCUCUAGAUCAGUCAGAUUGAGCUCCCUCCAAAGAUUCUCUAUUGGGAUUAUAUUUAUUUUUAAUUAAGAGGUUAAAUCUCCAGUUUUUGAGGGUAUCUGCGUGCAUGGAAUAUGGAAAGGCCUGCUUUUUAUCCAGACCUUGAUGCUUUUUAUGGUGCUGCGCAGACCGUUCCGGCUUAUGACAUCACAGUACCGCGAGAGCAAUGGUAAAGGUGUACCAUUUUGUAACAUUUCGACAUACUCUCGCGGUACUCUGAUGUCAUAGGCCGAAACGGUCUACGCAGCACUCCUUCAAUCUUUACGGCAAAGUACUAGCAACAUGAGAAGUGUUGAGGUGGUUCUCAGUAGAAAAUAAAAAGGUAGGCUACGCUUGAAACCCUUAAAUGUAACUGGUUUAGUUACUUACAUCGUGUGUUGCACUUUCGCCACCGCUAACAAUCUGAAACAUCGCGCAUACGUGUGCUCGCUCUGUAGUUUGUAGCUCGCGCUCCGGAUACUGUAAACAACUCCACCUUCUUUGAUUUGAUUGGCUAUCGCAUCAUUUUGAUUUUGACAAGCACUUUAGACUGCUGAUUGAGACAGACAGAUAGAGAUAGGCGUUGCACAGUAUUUACAGUUAUAUAUUAGGCAAUUAUUCCAAUAGUGAUUGUUAUUACACACCACUGGAUCUUAGUGGUGGGCACGAGCCUGCGUGAGAAAAUGGAUUUGGUCGAAAGAGCGUGAGAAAUAGGGCCAAUUGCGCGUGCCCUGCCAUGUAGGAGUAUUUUUGUAAGGCCUGCGACUGAGGGUCAUAUUUCAAUAUAAAGGCUACCUCAAAAAUGAAUUCCAUAUGGAACUUAGUGGAAGACCAUCUCCUAGAAAUGUGCAGAUGAAUGUAAGAUGUCAAAAAGGCACCACAGUCAUUGUUUGUGAAAAUUACUGCUUUGCAUUAAAUGAUAUUUCAUGGUAAUGUAAUAUAGAUUUUUUACCUUUUGAAAGUAACAAAUAUAAUAUGAUUACAGUAUGUAAUAAAAUAAUUAUAGUUAUAAGCAUUUGUCACUGUGUCUGUUAUGUUUUACCUGUUAUCAGUGCGUAAACAAAUGGUCACCAAUACUCUAUUCAAAAGAGGUAAGAAAUUGUUUUGUUCAAACACAGCAUAAUUACAAAGUAUGGUUUGCUGGGUUUUAAUUGUUUUCUUAUUAACACAAAAAACAACAUGACUACCCUUUCUGCUUCCUCCACCAGCCUUAGAGCAGCUGUUCAUGUAUAACUCUGUGGUAGAGCAUUGCGUUUGCAAUGCAAAAGGUCAUCGUGGGUUUGAACCCAGGGAACACAAAUACUGAUACAAAUAAUAAGCAGCUUGUAAUGGAUUUUAAGUUGCUUAAAAGCGUCUCCAAAUGCAUAAAUAUUAUAUAUACACAUGAUGUAACCCCAGGUUGACCACCGUGAAACAUGUAUGCAUUAGGUGGACGGCUUUAUCCAAAGCAUAUACUUUUUAUUAGUAUGUGUGCUCCUUGGUUAUUUAGCCCAUAACCUCUUAUUUCAGCCUUGUUUGUUUUAUUUUUAUUUUUUAUGUAUAUACACUGUAAAACCUAACAGUGUAAGUCACUAAACGAAAGUUAAUUUCACUUAAUAAAAACUGUGAUAUGAACUUAAAAACUGCAAAUGAUUAACCAUAACUAUAACCAAAUAUUUAAGCAACAGCAGGACACAGAUAUGAAGAGCUAACAGGUAAGCACUGCAAACUCUUUCAACCUUUUUAAAGCAUCUUUAAUCUUUAAAAACAUGUUGUUUGUCGUGACUCUACAUUUUAAUACUCACUCGGUUACAGUAAUUUGUGUAAUGUUGGACAUACGAUGAAACAACGCGACGUUGACACAGCAAUUUUACCUCAGACUCAUUUUUAUCAGCAGAUUGUGUGUUUCUUUCUCAGUAAGGACUAACUUUAACUGACUGUCUGUCUGUCUGUUAUCACCCAAACGGUCAUUCAAGACCUUUUAAAGCACAAACAUUUCCCGUGCAAGUCUGAAUCUCUCUCAGUAAGGACUAAUUGACUGGCUGUCUGUUCUCGACCAAACGGUCAUUCUUACUCAUAAAAACCUUUUAAAGUGUUUCCCGCACAAAUUUGAAUUUCUCUCAGUAAGGACUGACGGAUGGCCAUUCACUCAUAUAACCUUUUAAAGGUUAGCACGAAUGCAUCCAGCAUAAUUUUGGAUCUUUACCAUUGAGGAGACUGGCUGACUGUUCUCAACCAACCAUCAUUCACACGCUAAACUUUAAAGGUAAGUAUGAACGCGUCUAGAGCAGUUUUGGAUCUUUACCAUUGAGGAGGUUGACUGACUUUCAUCUAUGACCAUUAACACAACAAAAACUAAAGAAAUGUUACUACAAGUGGACCUAUUCAGUUACUCAUUAUGCUGAAGAAGAUAGAUCCAUUGCUGCCCAAGCUAAGCUUUAUUGACACAAGUGUGACAUCCCGAAAAAAAAAACCCAUUAAUGACCGGUGGGUGAAGGACCUCCUCCUGAGGUAUGUGCAGCUGUUCGGUCUCCUGCUACCUCGAGGUCAACGUGGACAGGGCAAUUCAUGGGCAGGGCCGCCUCAGGUCGUUCACUUUCCUCGAGAUGCGGCAGCCUGCACAAGCUGGGACCGGCCAAGAGAGGAAAUGGUGCAGGAGACGCGUACACCUCUACAAAGCAGUGGCUGGUGAUGAAGGAGGAGGACAUCACCACCAAGUCCCUGAAGUGCUUCAGGCGCUACAUUCUCGAUAGAGAGAAGCCUCCACCAGAU